Molecule: long non-coding RNA, 323 nt
Organism: Salvia splendens (bonfire salvia)
Lineage: Eukaryota; Viridiplantae; Streptophyta; Magnoliopsida; Lamiales; Lamiaceae
Exons: 3
Source: RefSeq, a predicted model, not a curated record
GCUAAUAUCAGUUGGGGUAGUGCUGCUUUAGCAUACCUGUAUCAUUAUUUGUGCGAGGCUUCUAUAGGCAGAUAGAGAAGAGAUGUGGGUGGACCUAUGGUUCUCUUGCAGCUGUGGGCCUGGGAAAGAAUGCCUACAUUGAGGCCAGCCUUCUUGAUAUCGCCUAUGCACACGCCGUAUACCCCGUGUGGAGCCAAGUGGCACGGAGUUACUGAAAUUGGAAAUGCUCCCCGACAUUCAGUAGCUCAUUAUCGUGAUCAGUUAUCACUGAUCCGUCCUGGCCAGUUUAUGUGGACACCCUAUGCAGACUGUAUCCUCCCUGA